Zonotrichia albicollis (white-throated sparrow) is the source of this 473-nucleotide non-coding RNA. Lineage: Eukaryota; Metazoa; Chordata; Aves; Passeriformes; Passerellidae. The record is from RefSeq and is a predicted model, not a curated record.
CCUUGUCCAUGCCCCUGUCCUGAGCCCGGUGAGAGAUGCUUGCCUCCAGGCUGGACAGUGGUGGAUGGUAGUGCACAUCUGGACAGGGCCCAGUUCCCUCUGGGCCCUGAUGGAAUCCCACUCUCAGAGCCUGACAGCCCAUCUAACUUGUCCUUGCAGCAAACUGAGCAGCCAGUUUGUCUCUUGCCUUCAUAGAGCGAGGAGUCCUGUGGCUGGUUGUCCUUGCUGGUGGCAAUGUCUCCUUGGGCCGGGCUCCUCUCCAGCACCUCCAGGGUCAGCCUGCUGCUGCUGCUGGGCUCUGUGCUCCUCUCCUGCUCCAGCCUGGGACAGAGAGUGCCUGAGUUUGCCCUUACAAAAAUAGAAGAGAGCGACAUAAAAGAUGACAGUGGGAAGGAGCUGGGGACAGAGGAUGACGCUGAUCCUGAAGACCUGGAAGUGUUUUACCCCACGGAUCAGUGGCAAACCCUGCGUCC